RNAcentral lists this unclassified non-coding RNA (307 nucleotides) under uncultured fungus. RNAcentral's name for it is "partial contains 5.8S ribosomal RNA, internal transcribed spacer 2, and large subunit ribosomal RNA". The stretch from base 1 to 52 matches the Rfam family "5.8S ribosomal RNA", at positions 103 to 154 of the family's 154-position model. Lineage: Eukaryota; Fungi. RNAcentral also lists the same sequence under 1 other name. The record is from RNAcentral.
AACGCACCUUGCGCCCUUUGGUAUUCCGAAGGGCAUGCCUGUUUGAGUGUCAUUAAAUCAUCAACCCAAAAGCUUUGUCACCGAAGCGUUUGCGGCUUGGACGUGGGGGUUUGCUGGCUUCCUUCAGUGGAUGGUCUGCUCCCCUUAAAUGCAUUAGCGGGAUCUCUUGUGGACCGUCACUUGGUGUGAUAAUUAUCUAUACCACGUUGGCCUUGAAGCAAAACUUAUGGGAACCCGCUCAUAACCGUCUUCGGACAACUCUUGACAUUUUGACCUCAAAUCAGGUAGGACUACCCGCUGAACUUAA